AGUGAACGCUGGCGGUAGGCCUAACACAUGCAAGUCGAACGGCAGCACAGUAAGAGCUUGCUCUUACGGGUGGCGAGUGGCGGACGGGUGAGGAAUACAUCGGAAUCUACUUUUUCGUGGGGGAUAACGUAGGGAAACUUACGCUAAUACCGCAUACGACCUACGGGUGAAGGCAGGGGAUCUUCGGACCUUGCGCGAUUGAAUGAGCCGAUGUCGGAUUAGCUAGUUGGCGGGGUAAAGGCCCACCAAGGCGACGAUCCGUAGCUGGUCUGAGAGGAUGAUCAGCCACACUGGAACUGAGACACGGUCCAGACUCCUACGGGAGGCAGCAGUGGGGAAUAUUGGACAAUGGGCGCAAGCCUGAUCCAGCCAUACCGCGUGGGUGAAGAAGGCCUUCGGGCUGUAAAGCCCUUUUGUUGGGAAAGAAAAGCAGCAGGUUAAUACCCCGCUGUUCUGACGGUUCCCAAAGAAUAAGCACCGGCUAACUUCGUG
This 492-nucleotide ribosomal RNA is filed under the name uncultured bacterium. RNAcentral's name for it is "partial 16S ribosomal RNA". It matches the Rfam family "Bacterial small subunit ribosomal RNA", at positions 29 to 507 of the family's 1533-position model. The record is from RNAcentral.